GAUGAACGCUGGCGGCGUGCCUAAUACAUGCAAGUCGAGCGAACAGACGAGGAGCUUGCUCCUCUGACGUUAGCGGCGGACGGGUGAGUAACACGUGGAUAACCUACCUAUAAGACUGGGAUAACUUCGGGAAACCGGAGCUAAUACCGGAUAAUAUAUUGAACCGCAUGGUUCAAUAGUGAAAGGCGGUUUUGCUGUCACUUAUAGAUGGAUCCGCGCCGCAGUAGCUAGUUGGUAAGGUAACGGCUUACCAAGGAAACGAUGGGUAGCCGACCUGAGAGGGGGAUCGGCGACCAUGGAACUGAGACACGGCACAGAGUCUUAGGGGAGGCAGAAGCAGGGACUCUUCGGAAAUGGGCGAAAGCUUGACGGAGCAACGCCGCGUGAGUGAUGAAGGGCUUCGGAUCGUAAAACUCUGUUCUUAGGGAAGAACAAAUGUGUAAGUAACGAUGCACGUCUUGACGGUACCGAAUAAGAAAGCCACGGCUACCUACGU
RNAcentral lists this ribosomal RNA (496 nucleotides) under uncultured bacterium. RNAcentral describes it as "partial 16S ribosomal RNA". It matches the Rfam family "Bacterial small subunit ribosomal RNA", at positions 28 to 506 of the family's 1533-position model. The record is from RNAcentral.